RNAcentral lists this ribosomal RNA (252 nucleotides) under uncultured bacterium. RNAcentral's name for it is "partial 16S ribosomal RNA". It matches the Rfam family "Bacterial small subunit ribosomal RNA", at positions 524 to 776 of the family's 1533-position model. The record is from RNAcentral.
UACGAGGGGUGCAGCGUUGCUCGGAAUUAUUGGGCGUAAAGGGUAGGUAGGUGGUCUUCUUUGUCUGGGGUGAAAGCCUUGAGCUUAACUCAAGAAGUGCCUUAGAAACGGCGAGACUGGAGUACUGGAGAGGGUCGUGGAAUUCCCGGUGUAGCGGUGAAAUGCGUAGAGAUCGGGAGGAACACCAGCGGCGAAGGCGGCGACCUGGACAGUUACUGACACUCAACUACGAAAGCGUGGGGAGCAAACAGG